This 7279-nucleotide long non-coding RNA is filed under the name Fragaria vesca (wild strawberry). RNAcentral's name for it is "long non-coding RNA (FVES_LNC002091)". The record is from RNAcentral. Lineage: Eukaryota; Viridiplantae; Streptophyta; Magnoliopsida; Rosales; Rosaceae.
GAAAAUUGGAGUUGGGGGUAGCAGAUAAGAACUGUGGAAGAAUAGUAGAAAACAAAGGUUUUGCUCGACCGAUUCCUUCGAAACCAACAUUAAGCUGAUUCCAGAGACUGAAAUGCAAGCUACCAUCCUAAUCUACAGUGAAUGCGAUCCCAUGUAAAUACCUAGUAAAUUGCCUAAUGAAUCAAAACUCACACAACUCUGCGCAACAUCAAAAUAAAUAAAAGCUUUUCAUAUUUGCUGAGAAUGAAACACACCGUUUUUUACCGGGACGCUUUCUUGACGCCGUUGAGCAUGCCCUUGUUGGCAAGAGCACGGAAGACGAGACGAGAGAUACGGAAGGUCUCGUAGACGGCGCGGCCUCGGCCGGAGAAGAUGCAGCGGUUCCUGAUUCGUGUGAAGGAGUUGUUUCGCGGAAGCUUCGAGAGCUUGUAGCGGUUCUCCUCCCGCAAGUCGUCGGGGAGGCUCGUGUCUUUGCACAGCACCUUGUAAAGGUUCCGCCGGAGCUCGAAUUUCUCCGCCAGCAAACGCCGGUGGUUGUCUCGGCAAACUGACAUUUUGGGGUUGACCAGGCAUAUCACAGGCAUCACUAAUUCAAAGAGAUUGACCAAUAGCAAUUAAUAAAUAUUUAUUUAAUUGUUCUUAGGUUGGUGUUUUCAGCGAAGUUUCCACUCAAUCAGAGCUUGAAUAGUGAUCAGUGACUUGAGACAAUAGACCAGGUCAGUCAACUUUGCUAGCAAUUACUGCAAUCAUGUUCGUAUACCAGCCACUUAUUAUUCUAGCUAUAGCCAUCUCAAAAUCCAUCCAAAUAUAUCAGAAAGUUUAUUCAGUGUCCAGGAGAAGCUAGUACUGAAAAAUCUGAGAAAUGCAGCAAACUCUCGUUUCUUCCUUUUGCUUCAUCUUGCUGGCUUUCUCCUCCUCCAUAGUCCUUGGUAAAAAACCCAACUGUGGGAAACAUGGCCCGGUUAUCAAAUUUCCAUUCACCUUCAAAGGUAGCUACCCAGAAAAUCCUGGGUAUCCUGGGUUUCUUGUAUCCUGCAAUGAAAAGAAGGAAACCGUUCUUGAGCUUCCAAUCCCAGUUAAAUUUGCAAUCAAGACCAUAGACUAUGAGGCUCAGCGAAUCCAGCUAUAUGACCCAGAAUAUUGCUUGCUUGCCAACCUUUCGAAAGUCCACGACAUGUCAAUCUUUCCCUUCCAGUACUCAGAAUACCAAAUGACUAAUAUUACCUUAUUCAAUUGUUCUUCAGCUGAAAGAGAAUCGCCGGCCUCGUGGCUUUAUUCAGUCCCCUGCUUUGAAGAACGCCCUGGCUACCAAAUCUAUUGGGCUUCUUCUUCAAGAAGCAUUGAGUACUUGCCCCUCCUGUCUUGUACAAAGAUGCGUACUCUUUCAUCAGUACCAUACUGGUCUGAGCUUUAUUUGGAAUGGUCUGAACCAAAUUGUACACUAUGUGAAGCACAGGGAAAUAUCUGUGGAUUGAAGAACAAUGGCACCACUAGUACUGAGAUUGAAUGCCUUCCCAUGAAGAAAGGAGGUACAGGGUAACAUCUAUUUAUAAGUUUUGCUAUAUGUUUGUUACAGAUUCCAAGCAUUUUUGCACAUGAUGAUUAUUCCUGCAUUUGUGAAAUGAGAUUAGUAUUAGCAUAUGCGCAUGAAAUUCCAUUCCAAGCAAGCAUAUUUGCACAUGAUGACUUGAUAGAAGUUGGAAACUUUGCACAGAUAAUGAAUCACAGGAAAUAGGGAGCUCAGUUAGUCCCAUAUAACUUUUCUAAAAGCUUUCAUCUGCUGUCCUUGUAAUGUUACACCAUUACUUAUGUCGUAGCUCACAACUCAACUAUGUAAUUUGACAAAUAUGGACCGAUUUUGUUUGCUUGUUGUUUUUACAGGUUCGGGGAAAACUUUAUUAGCUACGGGUGAGUUUUCUAAGAGAUUCUUUAGUUUGUUUCAUAUCUAGAAGAGAUGUAUUGUUGAAAUUUACUCAGAGUAUUAACUUGCAGGUACAUCCCUGGGUUCAUUUGUACUCGUACUACUUGCUGGUGCAGCUUUUCAUGCUUAUAGUUCUGAUAGAAAGGAGAAACAGAAUCAAUUAAAAAUUGAAAGAUUUUUAGAGGAUUACAGAGCUCUCAAACCAAGCAGAUACUCUUAUUCAGACAUCAAGAGGAUUACAGAUCAGUUCAAGGACAAAUUAGGCCAAGGGGCAUAUGGGACCGUUUAUAAGGGAGAGCUUUCUUCUGAAUGUUUUGUUGCCGUGAAAGUCCUCACUAGUACUAAAGGAGAUGGGGAAGAGUUUGUUAAUGAAGUGGGAACAAUGGGUCAUAUCCAUCAUGUCAAUGUGGUUCGCUUGGUUGGAUUCUGCGCUGAUGGGUUUAGAAGAGCUCUUGUUUAUGACUUCUUACCUAAUGGUUCACUGCAAGAUUUCAUUUCAUCAGCAGACAAUAACAAUUCUUUCCUUGGUUGGGAUAAAUUGCAAGAUAUUGCUCUAGGCAUAGCCAAAGGAAUUGAAUAUCUGCACCAGGGGUGCGAUCAACGAAUCCUCCAUUUUGAUAUCAAACCCCACAAUGUUCUGCUUGACCAUAACUUCACCCCAAAGAUUUCUGAUUUUGGUUUGGCCAAGUUAUGUUCCAAGGAUCAGAGUAUAGUGUCAAUGACUACAGCUAGGGGAACAAUGGGGUACAUUGCACCUGAAGUGUUCUCCAGGAACUUCGGGAAUGUGUCCUAUAAGUCAGAUGUGUAUAGUUAUGGAAUGGUACUGCUCGAGAUGGUAGGAGGAAGAAAGAACAUCAGUUCAACCACAGAGAACGCACCUGAAGUUUACUACCCAGAAUGGAUCUAUAAUCUACUAGAAGAAGGUGAAGACCUCCGAAUCCAUGUUGGGGAAGAAGCAGAUGCUAAAAUUGCAAAGAGACUUGCGAUUGUGGGUCUCUGGUGCAUCCAAUGGCACCCGGUUGAUCGUCCCUCUAUGAAAGGGGUGGUUCAGAUGUUGGAAGGAGGAGAAAACUUGACUAUGCCUCCAAAUCCUUUUGCCUCUCAAGGUCCUGCAGGAACAAGUGCAAGCACACCUGCCAGAAGAUUAAACCUUCAACUGGAACCAAUUGCUGAGUUAGAGUGAUAUGUAUAAUUUUUUAUAGUGUAUGCACAGUUAAGAACAUUAAGGUAACAAAAAUUAUCAUCAAGUUUAUGUAAUCAUGGUUGCUGUAACUAUUCUGCCCGGAGUUAUAGAAUGGUUAGUUGGUUCCAUGUCACAAUGAGAAUUAUACUUUUCAUAACCCAGCAGCCUGCAUUUGUAAUAUGGGUCUUUUUCGGCCUGAGCUGCUGAGCGACUGAUGCAGUGUAUAUUAUUAAAAUAAGAACAAGCCCAGAAUCGAUUAGUGCCAUAGCGACUCUUAUAACACAGCUAACUAAACAAUGACAGAGCAUUAGAGCACUUGUAACUAAAGCCAUGAAAGAGAUAUUAUUUAGAUCAGUAGUGUUUACCUGGUCCUCAUAGCCUCUGCCCACUUUAGUUGAAUGAAGUUGUGGAAAUUUCGAGCGACUUGUCGUUGGUACGUAGCUCUCCAGAUUACCCCAACGUAUAGGAAGGGACACUCCCUGCUGCAUGACUUUGAUCUUGUAUAUAGUUUUAAGUCUUGGUCAGUCUGUAACGUGUAGUAGAGUGCUACAGUCCAAUUCCAAAAACCCAAUAAAUUAAGCUCCGGUCUCUGUACGUAAUUGAGUAAUUAAGUCUAGCUAGUCUCUGUAUUCUGUAAAGUUGGAAAUGAUCACGUCAAGAAACUCCAUUAAUUAAAAGUAUAUAGACUUUGGUACUGUGAAUCUGGAAUGCGCAAGUCUUUUCUGAUCUCUCUCCAUGGGAACAACUGGGAUUAGGAGCCUGUCCCUGCAGUGUGCUUGGGUUUCAAUUGUAGCCUUUUUGGUUCUUGGCUCAUCUGGUCAUAACGAUGUGGGUGCGUCCAAUCUUAAAGAUGGUGCCAAGUGCGUCCCUUCUUCUUGCGGCGACAUCCACGACAUAAGCUACCCAUUGCGACUACAACAAGAUCCAGAGCAGUGUGGCGACUCACGCUACACUUUGGAAUGUGACCACAACAACAUCACAGUGCUGCGCCUAUUUUCUCAAGAGUACUACGUCAAGGCCAUUGACUACGACUUCAACAGAAUCCGAGUGGUGGAUCCUGGCCUUGAGAAGAACAACUGCUCUUCCCUUCCUCAUUUUCCUUUGUCCCCAUAUAACUUCAGUUACCAUUCAUGGGAACCAUAUAAUGUUCCAGUAAUUUUCUUGAAAUGUGCAAAUCCAGUGAAUUCUUCUCGGUAUGUGAGCACGGCUCCUUGUAUUAACUCCGAAAUGUAUGGUUAUGCCGUUCCAGGCAAUAUCUCCACCGAAGAUGUGGAGAAUGGGUGCACUGUAUAUUGGAUGUCUCUGACCACUUGGAUGCCCUACGAGGAGGACCGAAACGUUUCCUAUCAAGAUAUACACGAUCAAAUGGUGUACGGCUUCGAGCUUCGGUAUUCGACGAGUCUGGUUGACCCUUGCCGCGGUCAAUGGAAUUAUCCGGGCCUUGAUACUUAUUCCGAUAGAGAAUGUUAUCCGCGCAACAUACGAGGUAUAAGUAUACAGUGUCGAUCGAGUACGCCAUGAUUUCUCUACUUGAUUUUACGAAUGCUAAUUAGUUAUGUAUAUUCUUUGUCAUGCACUCCAGGUUUCUUUCUUAUUGGUUGGAGGCUUUUCACCGGUAAGUGUCAUUUCUCUCAACGUACUUUCUAUAUAUCCACUAAUCUGUGGCCUAACUUAUUGUCAACGAGAUCGAUGGUUGCCUCUCAUAUUGCAUAUAUGACCUAAUUAAUUAUGUAGAAUUUGUGCUGCAAUUAAACCCAGCUCCUUCAAAUCUUUUGCAGAUUAUUGGGCUACCGAGAGUAUUAUCGCUGGCAGUAUUGUAGCGGCAAAACUUGUAUUUGGAGGUCCAUUUGUGAUCGCACUUCUGAUACAUAAGUGGCGAAGAAGGCAUUGGUCAACCUAUCGCACUAUAGAAGAUUUUCUGCAUUCUGACAACUUCAUGCCUAUAAGGUACUCUUACUCCAACAUUAAGAAAAUGUCAGCUGGAUUCAAAGAUAAGUUGGGGGCAGGGGGUUACGGUUUUGUAUUUAAAUGCAAAUUACGGAGUGGCCGCUUUGGAGCCAUUAAAUUGUUAGGGAAGUCUAAUGCUAAUGGAGAAGAUUUCAUGAGUGAAGUAGCUACUAUUGGAAGGAUUCAUCAUGUUAAUGUGGUGCAGCUUGUUGGUUACUGUGUCGAGGGUUCAAAGCGCGCCUUAGUAUAUGAUUUCAUGCCAAAUGGUUCUCUUGAUAGAUACAUUUACUCCAAAGAAGAAUCCAUCCCUUUAAGUUACAAGAAAAUAUAUGAGAUUGCAGUUGGAGUCGCUCAAGGUAUUGAAUAUUUGCAUCAAGGUUGUGAAAUGCAAAUUCUGCAUUUUGAUAUCAAGCCUCAUAAUAUCCUACUUGAUGAGAAUUUUGUCCCAAAGAUUUCUGACUUUGGGCUAGCGAAACUAUAUCCAGCAAACAAUAGCAUUGUCUCAUCAAUGGCAGCAAGAGGCACCAUGGGAUACAUUGCUCCCGAGUUGUUUUAUAAAAACAUUGGUGGUGUUUCGUACAAAGCUGAUGUUUAUAGUUUUGGAAUGUUGUUGAUGGAAAUGGCAAGCAGAAGGAAAAAUCUGAAUGCAAAUGUGGAUCACUCUAGCCAAAUUUACUUCCCCUCAUGGGUGCAUGAUCAAUAUAAUGAGGGGAAGGACUUGGAGAUUGGGGAUGCUACAGCGGAGGAGAAGAAAUUAAUUAGAAAAAUGAUAGUAGCUGCCUUGUGGUGUAUUCAAAUGAAACCAAGUGAUCGACCUUCAAUGAAGAGAGUUACACAGAUGCUCGUAGGAGAUGUUGAGAACCUAGAAAUGCCACCAAAGCCUUCUCUAUGCCCACAACCGACGCCUGUAAGCAAUCUGAUUCCAGCAUGUUCAAAUGUGGAGCUAACAUGUACUCUUUCUGCUAGGUGAUGAUAGCUGGCUACCAUUCAUUCACUUUACUUCGUGUAACUUAUGAAAUUUUAGAUCAUCUUAGAAUUGCAGAUUAUUGUAGUUUUAAAGAUGAACUGCCUAUGAAAGUUGAAAUAUUGUACUUCGUCAUUACUUUGCUGCCUCCAGGUUUCUGUAUAUAUGUGCCUUGUAACUUUCAUAUUUACUUUUCAUACCCUCUGGUUUCUGAAGAAGUAUUUCUUAACAGACUUCUCAACCUAGUAGUUUCAAAGCCUCCAAACAAAGGCCUAAUUUGGAUUUGUUUACAGUCUUACAGAUAAAUAGGCUGAAAAUUAAAGAUUGUUCCACAAGGCUUAUUUAAGUUUAUAUCGAUGAAAAAGGCUUAUAAAGUUCUUAAUGUAUAUUUGUUCAAGGUUUUGGUUGGGGGCCUUGGACAAUGAGAGGUUUUGGGUGGGAGAUCAAUAUGGUUCCUUUUAAUUUGGUACUUUUACUUGGGUUCAGGUUAUCUCUGCAAUAAAAAAAUAAGAGGAAAAAAAAAAGGGAUUUUGUGUGUUCUGAGAUACUGAUGCAUGCUUCUUUAGGUAGUAUCUAAAUUGGCUUAAUACUUAUUUAUUGGCAAAGUGGCCAAACUCGUGAUUUUGUUUCUUUGAGCUUUUACAUUUCUACACAGUACCAAGAGAUUCAUGGUCAGCCACUAUUAGAUUUAAAUCUAAUGAUAGAGAGAAUUAUUUUAAGUAAAGUUAUUUUGUUUUAAACUCUUGGAUGUAAAUACAAUAGUAACUGACUAUGAAUCUCUUGUUUAGUCAUUGAUCAUGUGAACAUUACUGUUUCUACACAAUAAUUUCUCUUCAUAAUCAUGUACUCGAAUUGUCAUACAAUUUGUUGGCAAAUGUUGCAUGAAUUAGAGAGGGUGAGGUCAACGACACUAGGGCAGCCUGGGACGAAGGUUUAGAUUUUCACUCAACACUGGUUUAUGAACUACAAUACAGUUCACAGAAAGGAGAUAGCAAUAUGUCAAAAUGAUGGCGCCUGGUUUAUUAUAUCAAAAAGAAACAAAAGAUGAACGGUUCAAGCAUUUGAAAAUUGGAGUUGGGGGUAGCAGAUAGAAACUGUGGAAGAAUAGUAGAAAACAAAGGUUUUGCUCGACCGAUUCCUUCGAAACCAACAUUAAGCUGAUUCCAGAGAUCUCACGGUGUUCGCGGCCUCUUUUUAUAUAUAGUUGUUGAUGGCGGACAGGCAAAAAUGUCAGGUCAUGACAGUACAGACCGAAAGCUUGAGA